Drosophila pseudoobscura is the source of this 671-nucleotide long non-coding RNA. RefSeq lists it as uncharacterized. The record is from RefSeq and is a predicted model, not a curated record. NCBI's taxonomy places the organism in Eukaryota, Metazoa, Arthropoda, Insecta, Diptera, Drosophilidae. The transcript has 2 exons.
UCAACACCUUUGCUUUUGAAUAAGAAUACAAAUCGAACCUCCCAUCUACAUAGGAACCUCUUUCUGUGCUAGAAUUUUUGGUCUUAAAUAGAUAUAAAUAUAUUUAUAAUGGCUGGAGACCAUUGCAAGGGUAUACGGAAAUCGAAUUCGACUAAUCCGACAGAUAGAAAACAUUUGCAUGACCUUGGCCAUGACCUCAAGUGUACAUACAUAUGUACAAACAAUUGCUAUUAUAAUCGUAAUACCAUAACUCGAAUGCCAGUUCUUAUAAAAACCUCUGUGCUGCUGAGCGUGACCCUCGGUAGUGCGGUGAUUUAAAUAUAUAAUUUCAUCAUCAAUGCGUUCCACUGUUUCAAUCAGAAGCGGUCGCUCUGCUCUCGUCUCUGUUUGUGGGACAUGGGCCCGACCCAUUUGUUUUAGCGAUUUGCACGCCAAGCGAAAUAAUCAGACGCUCUCCCUUUCUCAGUAUGAAAACACGAGACACUUGAAUUCUUCUUUCGUUUCAUUUCAAUUGAUUGUGACAUUAAUUGUUGGUUAUUCUUUAUCGUUGCCGUCGAUAGCUGGCUUCAAAGGCGUCGAUUCCAGAUAGUGCCUAAUCUGUGGACCUUAAAUUUCGUAUCUCAUGUCGGAGAUUACAAUCGUAUAUAGUAAAUAUAAUUUCGUAUAUCAAA